AUUGAACGCUGGCGGCAGGCUUAACACAUGCAAGUCGAGCGAGCGGCGGACGGGUGAGUAAUGUCUGGGAAACUGCCUGAUGGAGGGGGAUAACUACUGGAAACGGUAGCUAAUACCGCAUACCAUCAGAUGUGCCCAGAUGGGAUUAGCUAGUAGGUGGGGUAAUGGCUCACCUAGGCGACGAUCCCUAGCUGGUCUGAUAGGAUGACAAGCCACAUUGGAGAUGAGCCCCAGUCCAGAGUCCUACGUGAGGAAGCAGUGGGGAAUAUUGCACAAUGGGCGAAAGCCUGAUGCAGCCAUGCCGCGUGUGUGAAGAAGGCCUUCGGGUUGUAAAGCACUUUCAGCGAGGAGGCGUUACUCGCAGAAGAAGCACCGGCUAACUCCGUGCCAGCCGCCGCGGUAAUUC
RNAcentral lists this ribosomal RNA (406 nucleotides) under uncultured bacterium. RNAcentral's name for it is "partial 16S ribosomal RNA". It matches the Rfam family "Bacterial small subunit ribosomal RNA", at positions 30 to 526 of the family's 1533-position model. The record is from RNAcentral.